RNAcentral lists this long non-coding RNA (251 nucleotides) under Lathyrus oleraceus (garden pea). RNAcentral's name for it is "Pisum sativum (pea) long non-coding RNA (PSAT_LNC011076)". Lineage: Eukaryota; Viridiplantae; Streptophyta; Magnoliopsida; Fabales; Fabaceae. The record is from RNAcentral.
UUUUAUUUCAUUUCAAACAUUUAUAUCUCUCUCAUUAUUGGUCCAAAAAAUGUGAGACCAAUUGCAUUAUUUCUCUUUUAAUUUCUAGUUUCUAAAAAUUAUUUUUAAUAUUUUUUAUUUUAUCAUUUGAUAUUUUUCAUGAAUUUUCUCUUUUCUGGUUAUUUUUAAUUCAUUUUAAAUAGUUUUUGAGAUCCAAAAAAUACAAAAAUAUUUUUCCAACCUCUUUGAAUGAUGAUAGAUCUAUGAAAAAU